This is a long non-coding RNA of Phlebotomus papatasi, 762 nucleotides long. RefSeq lists it as uncharacterized. The transcript has 3 exons. Lineage: Eukaryota; Metazoa; Arthropoda; Insecta; Diptera; Psychodidae. The record is from RefSeq and is a predicted model, not a curated record.
UAUGUCUAUUUUAAUAUUAAUCGAAAGAAUUUAUCACAACGGUCUCUGUAUUUCAAAUGUAAUCGACGAGUCGAUGAUGCGUUCGAUGAGUAAAUAACGCCAUUUCAGCGCACGCGCAUUGCUCACGGAUUUUUCUGGAAGUCGUGGUGAAUUGGUUCUUGUGCAGUUAUUUGUGAAAAAAAUACAAUUAAAACUUUGAAAAACCAGUGACAAAAGUGUGCGGGAUGAACAAUAGAACUAGUUAAAUAAAGUGACACGGUUUUCAAUGCGAAAUAAAGAAAUUUAGUGCGCGAAACACAAAAAAAUCAUCUUCUCCGUCUCAUUCUUUGUGUUGACAAGACCAUAUUAUACACGAUAAGGCGAUGAAGUCCUGUGCCAAAAUAGUCGGUCAAAUCAAAGACAGCAAUAGGCCAUGCAGAAAGCGUAAGAAGGCAACGCCAGCAAUUCCAUUACCAAAGAACACUUCAGCAGUACCUGGGCCAUAUACUCAGCGAGAUUUGAAAUCGUCUGAAUCUACUCAUACAUCUAUCUAUCGUCUAAAUCGUAAGCUGUGUAAGGUGAUCAACGAUUCCUGCUUCUUUUGUAAUUCAUUAUAAUGUAAAUAUUUUUUCAAUCACGUCAAUAUUUUUUAUAUAUGUAUCUGAACAUUAAAUUAAUUUGAAGUUUAAUUAGAUUUUUUUUUAAAAUUAAAUGUAUUAUUUUUUUUUUUAAUUUUAUUAAAAAAGUGAAGUUAAUACAUGAAAUAAAAUGUUCUCUGCUAUA